GAUGAGAACGUAGCGAAAUGCGAUAAGUAAUGUGAAUUGCAGAAUUCAGUGAAUCAUCGAAUCUUUGAACGCACAUUGCGCCCGGCAGUACUCUGCCGGGCAUGCCUGUUCGAGCGUCAUUUCAACCCUCAAGCCCUGCUUGGUGUUGGGGUCCCACGGCCGCCGUGGGCCCUGAAAGGAAGUGGCGGGCUCGCUACAACUCCGAGCGUAGUAAUUCAUUAUCUCGCUUAGGGCGUUGGGCGGCGCUCCUGCCGUUAAAGAACCAUCUUUAACUCAAGGUUGACCUCGGAUCAGGUAGGAAUACCCGCUGAACUUAAGCAUAUCAAUAAGCGGAGGA
Molecule: unclassified non-coding RNA, 337 nt
Filed under: soil metagenome
Description: partial contains 5.8S ribosomal RNA, internal transcribed spacer 2, and large subunit ribosomal RNA
Rfam family: 5.8S ribosomal RNA (bases 5-119)
Source: RNAcentral